This 407-nucleotide ribosomal RNA is filed under the name uncultured bacterium. RNAcentral's name for it is "bacterial SSU rRNA". It matches the Rfam family "Bacterial small subunit ribosomal RNA", at positions 28 to 430 of the family's 1533-position model. The record is from RNAcentral.
GAUGAACGCUAGCGGCAGGCUUAAUACAUGCAAGUCGAGGGGCAACAGGGGGUAGCAAUACCUGCUGGCGACCGGCAAACGGGUGCGGAACACGUACAGAACCUUCCUUUAAGCGGGGGAUAGCCCAUAGAAAUGUGGAUUAAUACCCCAUAGUAAUGUUUAAUGGCAUCAUUAGAUAUUUAAAGAUUUAUCACUUAAAGAUGGCUGUGCGGCUGAUUAGGUAGUUGGUCGGGGAACGGCCCACCAAGCCAACGAUCAGUAACUGGUGUGAGAGCACGACCAGUCACACGGGCACUGAGACACGGGCCCGACUCCUACGGGAGGCAGCAGUAAGGAAUAUUGGUCAAUGGACGCAAGUCUGAACCAGCCAUGCCGCGUGAAGGAUGAAGGCCCUCUGGGUUGUAAAC